RNAcentral lists this ribosomal RNA (806 nucleotides) under uncultured bacterium. Its description in RNAcentral is "bacterial SSU rRNA". It matches the Rfam family "Bacterial small subunit ribosomal RNA", at positions 8 to 816 of the family's 1533-position model. The record is from RNAcentral.
AGAGUUUGAUCCUGGCUCAGGAUGAACGCUGGCGGCGUGCCUAACACAUGCAAGUCGAACGAAGCACUUUACUUGAUCCCUCGGGUGAUUGUAUUGUGACUGAGUGGCGGACGGGUGAGUAACGCGUGGGUAACCUGCCUUAUACAGGGGGAUAACAGUUAGAAAUGACUGCUAAUACCGCAUAAGCGCACGAGUUCACAUGAACUUGUGUGAAAAACUCCGGUGGUAUAAGAUGGACCCGCGUCUGAUUAACUGGUUGGUGAGGUAACGGCCCACCAAGGCGACGAUCAGUAGCCGACCUGAGAGGGUGAUCGGCCACAUUGGGACUGAGACACGGCCCAAACUCCUACGGGAGGCAGCAGUGGGGAAUAUUGCACAAUGGGGGAAACCCUGAUGCAGCAACGCCGCGUGAUUGAAGAAGUAUUUCGGUAUGUAAAGAUCUAUCAGCAAGGAAGAAAAUGACGGUACUUGACUAAGAAGCCCCGGCUAACUACGUGCCAGCAGCCGCGGUAAUACGUAGGGGGCAAGCGUUAUCCGGAUUUACUGGGUGUAAAGGGAGCGUAGGCGGUCAUGCAAGCCAGAAGUGAAAUACAUGGGCUCAACCCAUGGGCUGCAUUUGAAACUGUAGUUCUUGAGUGAAGUAGAGGUAAGCGGAAUUCCUGGUGUAGCGGUGAAAUGCGUAGAUAUCAGGAGGAACACCGGUGGCGAAGGCGGCUUACUGGGCUUUUACUGACGCUGAGGCUCGAAAGCGUGGGGAGCAAACAGGAUUAGAUACCCUGGUAGUCCACGCUGUAAACGAUGAUUAC